AUUGAACGCUGGCGGCAGGCCUAACACAUGCAAGUCGAGCGGAUGAAGGGAGCUUGCUCCUGGAUUCAGCGGCGGACGGGUGAGUAAUGCCUAGGAAUCUGCCUGGUAGUGGGGGAUAACGUCCGGAAACGGGCGCUAAUACCGCAUACGUCCUGAGGGAGAAAGUGGGGGAUCUUCGGACCUCACGCUAUCAGAUGAGCCUAGGUCGGAUUAGCUAGUUGGUGGGGUAAAGGCCUACCAAGGCGACGAUCCGUAACUGGUCUGAGAGGAUGAUCAGUCACAGUGAAACUGAAACACGGUCCAGACUCCUACGGGGGGCAGCAGUGGGGAAUAUUGGACAAUGGGCGAAAGCCUGAUGCAGCCAUGCGGCGUGUGUGAAGAAGGUCUUCGGAUGGUAAAGCACUUUAAGUUGGGAGAAAGGGCAGUAAAUUAAUACCUUGCUGUUUUGACGUUACCAACAGAAUAAGCACCGGCUAACUUCGU
Molecule: ribosomal RNA, 483 nt
Filed under: uncultured bacterium
Lineage: Bacteria
Description: partial 16S ribosomal RNA
Rfam family: Bacterial small subunit ribosomal RNA
Source: RNAcentral